CAAAGAGUGGGGAGAAAGGGAGGCACCAAGUUGAAGUGGCAGUUUCAUGUCAAAAACUUGACAGAAAUUCUCGAUUUUGAACGUUUCAAAACUUUGAGGAAGGGCAAGGCGUUUGCAAAUUAACUUGCAUUUGGAUUCUUCAGUUGAGUGUUCUAGAGGAUCAGACAUGACCUCACCUCUAGAGUUUGAUAGCAGAUCUUGAUCCAAGGGUGAGCACUACGUCUCCAGGCUACCAUGGGUCAUCUUAUUUUGUUCUUGCCCAUCUUUCGAGCAAUGAAAUAUUGUUCUUGUCCAUCUUUCGAGAAAUGAAACAUUCUUUAGUUACUUUAUUUUUGGAUAUCUCUUUAGACAUGAUCUUUGUUAGUAGUUCUUGUACUAUGUUUUUCGGAUCUUGGAGAUUUUAGUAAGUAGUUUAUUUGACUUCCACAUUAAUAAUGAUUA
This is a long non-coding RNA of Capsicum annuum, 441 nucleotides long. RefSeq lists it as uncharacterized. The transcript has 3 exons. Lineage: Eukaryota; Viridiplantae; Streptophyta; Magnoliopsida; Solanales; Solanaceae. The record is from RefSeq and is a predicted model, not a curated record.